UACGGAAGGUGCAAGCGUUAUCCGGAUUCACUGGGUUUAAAGGGUGCGUAGGUGGGCAGGUAAGUCAGUGGUGAAAUCUCCGGGCUUAACCCGGAAACUGCCGUUGAUACUAUCUGUCUUGAAUAUCGUGGAGGUGAGCGGAAUAUGUCAUGUAGCGGUGAAAUGCUUAGAUAUGACAUAGAACAUCAAUUGCGAAGGCAGCUCGCUACACGGUUAUUGACACUGAGGCACGAAAGCGUGGGGAUCAAACAGG
RNAcentral lists this ribosomal RNA (253 nucleotides) under uncultured bacterium. RNAcentral describes it as "partial 16S ribosomal RNA". It matches the Rfam family "Bacterial small subunit ribosomal RNA", at positions 524 to 776 of the family's 1533-position model. The record is from RNAcentral.